UGGGGAAUUUUGGACAAUGGGCGAAAGCCUGAUCCAGCAAUGCCGCGUGUGUGAAGAAGGCCUUCGGGUUGUAAAGCACUUUUGUCCGGAAAGAAAUCCUUGGCUCUAAUACAGUCGGGGGAUGACGGUACCGGAAGAAUAAGCACCGGCUAACUACGUGCCAGCAGCCGCGGUAAUACGUAGGGUGCAAGCGUUAAUCGGAAUUACUGGGCGUAAAGCGUGCGCAGGCGGUUUGCUAAGACCGAUGUGAAAUCCCCGGGCUCAACCUGGGAACUGCAUUGGUGACUGGCAGGCUAGAGUAUGGCAGAGGGGGGUAGAAUUCCACGUGUAGCAGUGAAAUGCGUAGAGAUGUGGAGGAAUACCGAUGGCGAAGGCAGCCCCCUGGGGCCAAAUACUGACGCUCAUGCACGAAAGCGUGGGGAGCAAACAGGAUUAGAUACCCUGGUAGUCCACGCCCUAAACGAUGUCAACUAGUUGUUGGGGAUUCAUUUCCUUAGUAACGUAGCUAACGCGUGAAGUUGACCGCCUGGGGAGUACGGUCGCAAGAUUAAAACUCAAAGGAAUUGACGGGG
This 572-nucleotide ribosomal RNA is filed under the name uncultured bacterium. RNAcentral's name for it is "partial 16S ribosomal RNA". It matches the Rfam family "Bacterial small subunit ribosomal RNA", at positions 355 to 918 of the family's 1533-position model. The record is from RNAcentral.